RNAcentral lists this ribosomal RNA (460 nucleotides) under uncultured bacterium. RNAcentral's name for it is "partial 16S ribosomal RNA". It matches the Rfam family "Bacterial small subunit ribosomal RNA", at positions 338 to 795 of the family's 1533-position model. The record is from RNAcentral.
CCUACGGGAGACAGCAGUGAGGAAUAUUGGUCAAUGGACGAGAGUCUGAACCAGCCAAGUAGCGUGAAGGAUGACUGCCCUAUGGGUUGUAAACUUCUUUUAUAUGGGAAUAAAAUGUUCCACGUGUGGGAUUUUGUAUGUACCAUAUGAAUAAGGAUCGGCUAACUCCGUGCCAGCAGCCGCGGUAAUACGGAGGAUCCGAGCGUUAUCCGGAUUUAUUGGGUUUAAAGGGAGCGUAGGUGGAUUGUUAAGUCAGUUGUGAAAGUUUGCGGCUCAACCGUAAAAUUGCAGUUGAAACUGGCAGUCUUGAGUACAGUAGAGGUGGGCGGAAUUCGUGGUGUAGCGGUGAAAUGCUUAGAUAUCACGAAGAACUCCGAUUGCGAAGGCAGUUCACUGGACUGCAACUGACACUGAGGCUCGAAAGUGUGGGUAUCAAACAGGAUUAGAUACCCCAGUAGAC